Macadamia integrifolia is the source of this 5139-nucleotide long non-coding RNA. RefSeq lists it as uncharacterized. The record is from RefSeq and is a predicted model, not a curated record. NCBI's taxonomy places the organism in Eukaryota, Viridiplantae, Streptophyta, Magnoliopsida, Proteales, Proteaceae. The transcript is spliced from 2 exons.
UUAAUCACUCUCUUUCCUCCUCUAGAUUGACUAAAGGGGCACAUCAUAUAUUUUUUCUUCGUUCUGCUCAACCUAAAACCUCUUGAUUCCAAGCUCGUUCUCCAUAGCUCCAGUUUAGUAUUAGUCCCAUCCACAGUUUCAUCUAUCAACACAAUAUCAUCAACAAAUAGCAUACACCACGGAAUCGAGUCUUGGAUGUGCCUGGUUAGGUCAUCCAUAAUGAGUGCAAAUAAAUAAGGACUUAGAGCAGAUCCUUGGUGUAACCCAAUUGUGAUUGGGAAUUCAUUACAUUGUCCCUCUGAUGUUUUGACACUCGUCACCACUCCCUCGUACAUGUCCUUGAUUAUAUCUACAUAGUUGAUCUUACCUCAUUUUUUUUCCAGGACAUGCCAAAUUAGCUCUCUCUGUACUCUGUCAUAAGCUUUCUCUAGGUCAAUAAAGACCAUAUGGAGGUCCUUUCUGUGGGCUCUAAAAACUUCAUAAGCCUCCUUAGGAGGUAAAUAGCUUCUGUUGUGGAUCUCCUUAGCAUAAAGCUGAAUUGGUUCUUCGAUACCUUGGUUUCCUUUCUUAGGUGGACUUCAAUAACUUUUUCGCAUAGUUUCAUGGUGUGGCUCAUAAGUUUUAUGCCUCUAUAGUUUUUGCAGUUUUGGACAUCCCCUUUGUUCUUAUAAAUCGGAACCACAAUGCUUCUCCUCCACUCAUCUGGCAUAGAUUUUGUACUCAACAUUUUGUUAAACAGCUUGGUUAACCAAGACACUCCAUGUCCUCCCAAGCUCUUUCAUACUUCGAUUGGGAUCUCAUCCGGUCUCGUAGUUCUACCUAUAUUCUUCCUUCGCAUGGCCUCUUUAACCUGGAUUUUGUCAAUUUGCAAUAAAUUCCCAUAGGAGGAUUGGCUUCAUGGCUACGCCCCUCCACAUCUGGGUUCACCCUAUCAGUCACAGUUAUCUCCAUUUUGUAGGUUACAAAAAUAAUCACCCCAUCUCCUCAUAAUGUCCUCGUUCCUUACCAAUACUCUACCAUCCUCACUUUUGAUGCAUCUGACACGGUCCAAAUCCAUACUCAUCCUUUCUCUUAUCUUAGCCAUCCUACAAAUCUCUUUUUCUCCCUCCUUUGUGUUAAUGUUUUUAUACAGAUCAUCAUAUUUCUUUGCCCUAGCUUUACCCAUAAUCUUCCUAGCCUCAUUUCUAGCUAUGUGAUAUCUUGCUCUAUCAUCAGGCUCGUUAGUCCUUUGCCAAGUCUUAAAACAAUCUUUCUUAGUCUUAAUGGCGGCCUAGACCUUGUUGUUUCACCACCAGGUCUCUCUAGGGGUACGUCUUCCGCCCUUAGUUAAACCUAAGACCUCUUUAGCCACCUCCUUAAUGCUAGUCGUCAUUGCAGUCCACGUCUCGUUAGUAUUUCCCACAUAGUCUCACGUGCCUCGUUCGAUCACUUUAUCAUAAAACGAUUUUAGGGGCACUCCGCGUAGUCGCCUCUAAUUUAUUUUAAGGCAUAAGUGCAUCACCUUCUUAUGUUGCCUCAUACUAAACUACAAAUCCAUGACCACCAGUCGAUGUUGUGUCGUUAAACUCUCUCUUUGUAUAACCUUAUAAUCUUUACAAAGCAGCUUGUUGGAUCUUGUAGUCAUAAAGAAAUCAAUUUGGCUUGCGUGCAAUCCACUCUUAUAAGUAACUAAAUGCACUUCUUUUUUCUCAAAAAAGGUAUUUGCAAUACAAAGGUCAUAUGCUAUUGCAAAGUCCAACAUUGAAGUCCCCUCUGCGUUCCUCUCUCCAGCUCCAUAUCCUCCAUGCCUCUUCGUAGCCUCUACGAUCCUUGCUUACAUGGCCAUUAAGGUCCCCACCAAUAAUAAUUUUCUCCCCUUGAUCGAGACCCUGCAUCAUUUCAUCCAUAUGCUCCCAGAAUUGUACCUUAACCCUGUCAUCAAGCCCUGCUUGGGGUGCGUAAACGCAAACUAUGUUAAAAAUCUCAUCCCCAAUCACCAGUUUAAUGGCGAGAGUCCUAUCUCCAAGUCUCUUAACAUCCACAACGUCAUUUUUAAGAUCUUUGUCAAGUACUAUUCCCACUCCCCCUCUCCCACAUUCAUUUCCCAAGUACCAUAGCUUGAAGUCGUCCAACCCCUUAGCUUUACUACCUUUCCAUCUCGUUUCUUGAAUACAUGCAACAUUAAUCCUUCUUUUCCUCAUAAAAUCAAUUAACUCCAUACUCGUACUCAUCAGCGAACCAAUGUUCCAUGAUGCAAAUCUAAACCCACAAGAUUAGAACCACAAGACAUGCUAUAAAUGAUAAAAGAGAAGGGUUAGUCAAGAGAUAUGUAGUAAAAUAAUCUAAAAAGGAUUCAUGCAAAAGUGAUUGGUUGAGUAUAAAUAUAUACAGUGCCGGCUACCUACUUGACGCACCAAUAGUAAGGAUGCAAAUAUAGAUAUAUAGAUACUAGAAUGAGCAGAAAUCAGAAGUAAACAUGCAACCCGUCGAACUCAAUAGGCCAGCAUAACAUAAACGAUACUAUCCAACUACAGCAUAGCAUGCACACAACAAGACACAAAUAUGCUCACAGAAACACACAUACAAAAGAUAUCAGAUAGGGUAAGUACGGAAACUUCCCGAGACUAGGGGGGGAAAAAAAACACAAUAAAGGGGAGGAAAAGUGUAGGAGGUGUCCCUUACUACUCAAACUAAGGUGGCAAGGAUGCCAGUCAGCGCCCAGCCAGAAAACCCUUAUCCCAACUAAAUGGGGUCGGGCUACAUGAAUCCUAUUUCUCCAAUCGGUUCUAUUCAAAGCCAUGCAAGAUUCCGAUCCUAAGCUAUACAUGUCCUUCCUCACUACUUUUGUGGUUAUUUUAAGCCUACCUCUAGCUCUUUUAGCUCUUUUAGAGAUUGCAUAUGGGGCAUUUUACCAUGUUGUAUCGAAUAAUUUCUUUUUGUUGCUUUUAAAAGAGUGUUAUUGGCUCUUGCGUCUCGUUUAAGAAGAUUUUUACGGAGAAACUAAGAGAAUAUUCUUGUAUUUAGUACGUUCAAAGAAGUUCCAAAAUUUACACGCAUGGUCUUUCAAAUUAAUCGUUUGAGCAAGGUCUACCUUCCUAGAAGGUUUUACUGAUGGCCAAUAAUCAAUGUGGAAGUUUUUUUUCCUUUAUAAAGAUUCCUUUUUGUCCUUUAGUCAACUAAGUUGCCCUUCGAAAGGGUUCUCCCACCUGUCUGAAAGGUCUUCUACAAUAUAUCUGUUAAUAAGUGCAUUGGGAAUAGUUCACCUGGUGGUGGUGAUUGCAUGUUUUAUUUCUCAGUUUCCGACCUUAAAGAUCGUGAUAUGUAGAAUACAAAUCUUGUGUAGUUAUCUUUUUUUUUUCUGGUAAAUGUAUAGUUAUCAAUGAUGUGUGCAAGACUUGGCCGUUAGAUUAUUUAUUUGUUUGCACAACUUACUAUGCUAUUUUCAGAUCUAAAAAUCCUUGCAUUGAUCACCCACCCAUUUGCCAUUCUCUCUCUCUGAGGUUUGGGAGCUGAAAGCUGCAGAUUUGACUAUUAGCCCUAUUCAGUGUGCUGCAAUUGGUGUUGACAAUUGAAGUCAUUGUAUUUCAUUAACUGUUCAGAGAAGAUAGGUUGCCAACUGUAAGUACAUCUCCGUCCAUCUGAAUUCAUUGGCUCUCUUGAUUAAGGGCAUCUCGCUUCGAUUUCUAUGUCUAGUUUGCACCUGGAAAGAUAAAUUCCGGAGCAAGCCACAUCAUCUGAUCAGGUUAAGCAAGGACAGCUCCUUUUUGGCUCUGAUCAAUCAGUUUGUUAUGCAAAUUUUGUCGGAAUGUUGAUUUUGAUCAGGUUGCUGAUAUGUAUCGUGCUGAAAAGUAUAGUGGUGCUAACGCUCAGGGUGAAGAUGAUUAAGGGAUAGUACCUCAUUUUCAUUUAGCCCAACAGUGCUUUCUUUUGCUGGUUCUCAGUGUCAUAGUGAGCAUGUGGAUUUUUUUUAAUAAUACAUAUUCCUGAUUUGCAGUUGUGAGUUUAUAAGGGGACAUGCAUUUAGCCCACUGAUAUUCGUUGGAUUUAGUUCUCGGCAGGAUCGGAUCAGUACCAGAGAGGAUCGGUGUGUAUUAGUCACUUUUACCCUUGCUUUUCAGAAAAGUAUUUUUUUUUUUUACUGUUUUAACCUGAAACGAUAUGGAUAAUCGAUUUGGAUCGAUCUCAGCCAAUACCGAUACGAUACCGAUACUUGAAACCAUGUGUCCUGGACCCCUGAUGGUGUGGCCAAUCAAAGGUUCAGAUAUCAGGAGGGUAUUUUGGGGGACAUACGAAUAUGUGGAGGCAAAUCUUUUUCCAAAUUGUAUUCAAAUUGAUACCCAUAUGAUAAGGGUUCGAUCUAGGAGAAGGUGCAGAGGAAACAAUAAAAGGAGGUAGAGAUGGAGGAAUAGCAGAGAUGAUAGGCCUGUACAAAAAGUAUGGAGGAUCUAGUAACAGCUUGACUACCGUCUGGCACCAAGAUAGUAAAACCCCUUCAUUGUAGAGUGAAGGUUUGGAGUAGAACGAUGAAAGAUGACAAGGCUGCGGGUCCUUCAGAUCAGCCACAUCAAAGACACCCAGUGAACAACAUCCCUAUAAUGAGGAACCCCGUUGAGGUGCUAUUGCAGGAAGGUGAUCCAGUCUUUAAUCGAGUAUCCAUUGAAGAAACUCGCCAACAUGAGGCAGCAAAAGUGCAAAUACAAGGGCAUGAAAAACAGUCUCUGAGCAGGCAUAGCAAAAGGGGCAAUCAGAAUUAACAAAGAGGUUCCUACGAAAGAGAUGGUUGACAGCCAAAACUCCGUAGCUACAGUGCCUCCAAGAAAAUUGAAUGAGGGAAGUAAUGACCUUUAAACACUUGAACCCAUAAACCAAUUCCAUUCUGUAAGAUCUGCCACCACUGUUGUGCUAGUAGAGCCAAAUUAGAACAUUCAAAGUUGCGAAAGCCAAAGCCGCCGGUGACUUUUUUUGGUGCACAAAUUCUCAUUCUUAGGCAUGUUUCCACCUGAACCGACGAAGGAAGAAGGAUGAAGAAUCAUAGACAUGACUGGACAGAUUUGAUAAAAAUUUCCUUACAAGCAGGGGAAAACAGAUUUUCCUUCCUCCUUGAAAGUUUUGACUUGGACCCUUCUGAUAAUGCCAUGGAAAGUAAGGCUUCCAAAAUCA